CUCAACGACUUUCUCGGAGCCGCAGAAGCAGGAGCGCGACGCAAAGGUCAAAGGUCAGCAGCCGACGCCGUCGACGUCCGCCGCGACGGUGGCGCCUCCUCAGAAGAGUUUGCGGAAGCGGACGCCGGUCAGCCGGACGUGCAGAGAACGAAAUAGAGGGCGCCAGGAGGACGCGAUCGCCGAGGAAAAUGCGCAGACGCGCAGCAAGGUGGAGCAACUGAAGCAGCGUCUCGAGGAGCUGAGACUGAAGCGACACCAGAAGAAGGACGUGGCGCCAUCUACGUGCAGCGUGGUCGGAACGACCUCUGUGCGACCCCGGAGCGUGUCGGACGCGACAAGCUACGCGGUGCAGCGAAAGGUCGUGCAGUGAGCGUCGCUGCCGCAGAAAUGAAAGAUCGAGUGGUCUGGAGGUUCGUCACCGAAGGACACAGAAUCGUAUCCGCGUUGCGCGAUAUAAAACGAUAUAAACUCGAUGCAAAUCAUUGGAUGAAUACGGAAUCCACGUUUGCGCGCGCGGAACAAAA
This is a long non-coding RNA of Priapulus caudatus, 524 nucleotides long. RefSeq lists it as uncharacterized. The record is from RefSeq and is a predicted model, not a curated record. The transcript has 2 exons. NCBI's taxonomy places the organism in Eukaryota, Metazoa, Priapulida, Priapulimorpha, Priapulimorphida, Priapulidae.